GAUGAACGCUAGCUACAGGCUUAACACAUGCAAGUCGAGGGGCAUCAGGAAGAAAGCUUGCUUUCUUUGCUGGCGACCGGCGCACGGGUGAGUAACACGUAUCCAACCUGCCCUUUACUCGGGGAUAGCCUUUCGAAAGAAAGAUUAAUACCCGAUAGCAUAAUGAUUCCGCAUGGUUUCAUUAUUAAAGGAUUCCGGUAAAGGAUGGGGAUGCGUUCCAUUAGGUUGUUGGUGAGGUAACGGCCCACCAAGCCUUCGAUGGAUAGGGGUUCUGAGAGGAAGGUCCCCCACAUUGGAACUGAGACACGGUCCAAACUCCUACGGGAGGCAGCAGUGAGGAAUAUUGGUCAAUGGGCGCUAGCCUGAACCAGCCAAGUAGCGUGAAGGAUGAAGGCUCUAUGGGUCGUAAACUUCUUUUAUAUAAGAAUAAAGUGCAGUAUGUAUACUGUUUUGUAUGUAUUAUAUGAAUAAGGAUCGGCUAACUCCGUGCCAGCAGCCGCGGCAAUACGGAGGAUCCGAGCGUUAUCCGGAUUUAUUGGGUUUAAAGGGAGCGUAGGUGGACUGGUAAGUCAGUUGUGAAGGUUUGCGGCUCAACCGUAAAAUUGCAGUUGAUACUGUCAGUCUUGAGUACAGUAGAGGUGGGCGGAAUUCGUGGUGUAGCGGUGAAAUGCUUAGAUAUCACGAAGAACUCCGAUUGCGAAGGCAGCUCACUGGACUGCAACUGACACUGAUGCUCGAAAGUGUGGGUAUCAAACAGGAUUAGAUACCCUGGUAGUCCACACAGUAAACGAUGAAUACUCGCUGUUUGCGAUAUACAGUAAGCGGCCAAGCGAAAGCAUUAAAUAUUCCACCUGGGGAGUACGCCGGCAACGGUGAAACUCAAAGGAAUUGACGGGGGCCCGCACAAGCGGAGGAACAUGUGGUUUAAUUCGAUGAUACGCGAGGAACCUUACCCGGGCUUAAAUUGCAGUGGAAUGAUGUGGAAACAUGUCAGUGAGCAAUCACCGCUGUGAAGGUGCUGCAUGGUUGUCGUCAGCUCGUGCCGUGAGGUGUCGGCUUAAGUGCCAUAACGAGCGCAACCCUUAUCUUUAGUUACUAACAGGUUAUGCUGAGGACUCUAGAGAGACUGCCGUCGUAAGAUGUGAGGAAGGUGGGGAUGACGUCAAAUCAGCACGGCCCUUACGUCCGGGGCUACACACGUGUUACAAUGGGGGGUACAGAAGGCAGCUAGCGGGUGACCGUAUGCUAAUCCCAAAAUCCUCUCUCAGUUCGGAUCGAAGUCUGCAACCCGACUUCGUGAAGCUGGAUUCGCUAGUAAUCGCGCAUCAGCCACGGCGCGGUGAAUACGUUCCCGGGCCUUGUACACACCGCCCGUCAAGCCAUGGGAGCCGGGGGUACCUGAAGUACGUAACCGCAAGGA
RNAcentral lists this ribosomal RNA (1420 nucleotides) under uncultured organism. RNAcentral describes it as "16S ribosomal RNA". It matches the Rfam family "Bacterial small subunit ribosomal RNA". The record is from RNAcentral.